GGGAAAGUGGCUCAGUGGUAGAGUGCUUGCCUUGCAUGCAUGAAGCCCUGGGUUUGAUUCCUCAGCACCUA
Molecule: non-coding RNA, 71 nt
Organism: Dipodomys ordii (Ord's kangaroo rat)
Lineage: Eukaryota; Metazoa; Chordata; Mammalia; Rodentia; Heteromyidae
Source: Rfam